AUUGAACGCUGGCGGCAUGCCUUACACAUGCAAGUCGAACGGCAGCACGGGUGCUUGCACCUGGUGGCGAGUGGCGAACGGGUGAGUAAUACAUCGGAACAUGUCCUGUAGUGGGGGAUAGCCCGGCGAAAGCCGGAUUAAUACCGCAUACGAUCUACGGAUGAAAGCGGGGGACCUUCGGGCCUCGCGCUAUAGGGUUGGCCGAUGGCUGAUUAGCUAGUUGGUGGGGUAAAGGCCUACCAAGGCGACGAUCAGGAGCUGGUCUGAGAGGACGACCAGCCACACUGGGACUGAGACACGGCCCAGACUCCUACGGGAGGCAGCAGUGGGGAAUUUUGGACAAUGGGCGAAAGCCUGAUCCAGCAAUGCCGCGUGUGUGAAGAAGGCCUUCGGGUUGUAAAGCACUUUUGUCCGGAAAGAAAUCCUUGGCUCUAAUACAGUCGGGGGAUGACGGUACCGGAAGAAUAAGCACCGGCUAACUACGUG
Molecule: ribosomal RNA, 486 nt
Filed under: uncultured bacterium
Lineage: Bacteria
Description: partial 16S ribosomal RNA
Rfam family: Bacterial small subunit ribosomal RNA
Source: RNAcentral